Molecule: ribosomal RNA, 245 nt
Filed under: uncultured Gemella sp.
Lineage: Bacteria; Bacillati; Bacillota; Bacilli; Caryophanales; Gemellaceae
Description: partial 16S ribosomal RNA
Rfam family: Bacterial small subunit ribosomal RNA
Source: RNAcentral
UAAAGAACCUACCUUAUAGACAGGGACAACUAUUGGAAACGAUAGCUAAUACCUGAUAAGAAAGAAACUCGCAUGAGAGAAGUUCGAAAGUCGGAGCAAUCUGACACUAUAAGAUGGCUUUGCGGUGCAUUAGCUAGUUGGUAGGGUAAAAGCCUACCAAGGCUACGAUGCAUAGCCGACCUGAGAGGGUGAUCGGCCACAUUGGGACUGAGACACGGCCCAGACUCCUACGGGAGGCAGCAGCA